RNAcentral lists this ribosomal RNA (443 nucleotides) under uncultured bacterium. RNAcentral describes it as "partial 16S ribosomal RNA". It matches the Rfam family "Bacterial small subunit ribosomal RNA", at positions 338 to 795 of the family's 1533-position model. The record is from RNAcentral.
CCUACGGGUGGCAGCAGUGGGGAAUAUUGGACAAUGGGGGGAACCCUGAUCCAGCGACGCCGCGUGAGGGAAGAAGUAUUUCGGUAUGUAAACCUCUAUCAGCAGGGAAGAAAGAAAUGACGGUUCCUGACUAAUAACCCGCGGCUAACUACGUGCCAGCAGCCGAGGUAAUACGUAGGGGGGAAGCCUUAUCCGGAUUUACUGGGUGUAAAGGGCGCGUAGACGGGGAUUCAAGUCUGAAGUGAAAGGCGGGGGCCCAACGCCCGGACUGCGUUGGAAACUGGAUGGCUGGAGUGUGGGAGAGGUAAGUGGAAUUCCUGGUGUAGGGGUGAAAUGCGUAGAUAUUAGGAGGAACACCAGUGGCGAAGGCGGCCUGCUGGAACGUAACUGACGUUGAGGCUCGAAAGCGUGGGGAGCAAACAGGAUUAGAUACCCCAGUAGUC